This 119-nucleotide ribosomal RNA is filed under the name Carassius auratus (goldfish). The record is from RNAcentral. Lineage: Eukaryota; Metazoa; Chordata; Actinopteri; Cypriniformes; Cyprinidae.
GCUUACGGCCAUACCAACCUGGCUAUGCCCGAUCUCGUCUGAUCUCGGAAACUAAGCAGGUUUGGGCCUGGUUAGUACUUGGAUGGGAGACCGCCUGGGAAUACCAGGUGCUGUAAGCU